Molecule: long non-coding RNA, 1641 nt
Organism: Bubalus bubalis (water buffalo)
Lineage: Eukaryota; Metazoa; Chordata; Mammalia; Artiodactyla; Bovidae
Exons: 3
Source: RefSeq, a predicted model, not a curated record
UAAUGAAAGUAAUUCAGAAAGUAAAAAUUACCUUCCCAAUCCUUUUUUCCUGCAGUGCCUUGGAUCACAUUCAUUUCAGCAGACAAAUGAGGAAUGAUUCUUGUCCUACUUAAUCUUUGGGCUGAAGAGGAGACUCUUAUCAUGUGAAAUUCCCCCAUGUUAGGGGCGAGAGGACGCUUCCCUGUCUCACAGACAAGAAGAUGGAGCCUCACUUUGCCACAGUUCUAUCUUCCUAAUGUCAUUUUGAGGAUACCAAACAUUAAGACUAGAUAGAAGUUACCAAGGGAAAGAUCAGCACACAGUACUCUUGGACUACAUGCUACGCCUCUUCUUCCUGGGACCUCAUGGAUUUAAAUGGCUUAAGAGAACGGGAUGAGUUGUUGAAAAUUGUCCUUUCAUAAGACCUCACCGAAGGCCGAAGACAAGACCCAUUCAGGCCAAGGCUCCAGAGUCUUCUGUGAAGGGCAGUACGGACCCUUGCUUCUUCAGCACCCGCACAGCACAAAAGUGGCAGCUGCUGGUGUGGCAGGAUUAGUGAAGGGGCAACAACCUGGCUGAAGCCACACAAGCCCACUGCUUUCACUUCACUUCCAUGUUUAUUUAGCACCUUGGAGUGAGGUGGUGGAUUCUGCUACAUGUACUCUUCCCAGGAAUAUAACCCAGGUCAUCACCAUGAAAGCAUGAAACUUUAGCCACCCACCCAAGAGGAUUCAUAGAUACAUUUCAAGAAUUUUCUUGAAUGGACUAUGCUCAUAGACCACCUGCUCAGGAUAGGAAGGAGGCCAGGGCACUGAAGGAAAGCUUCCAGCCAAGGAGAGCAGGCUGGGGGUGAGAGGAAUAAAGGGAAGGAGGGGUUGAAGUAUGAAGUGAGUGAAGUUAGGUCACAGUUUUGCCUGGGAGAGAUGUGCUAGGUCUGAGAUGGCACUGGUUACUCCUUGUGCCCAGCUCUCUUGCCCUGUCUGCACGCUCUUCCUUGUGACCCCUGGGUGUCAAGUAUUCCCCUUCUGCUUUCACUUGCCUUGGCCUUUCAUGGGUAGACUUAGAUAUCCUGCCAGACAAACUCUGCCAAGGGCAGUCUCUGGUAUUUAGAGUUACAGACAUUAUUGUAAUAGGUGCCACUCCAUAGGCCAAAGGUAGAUGGCUUAUCUUUAGGCGACCGUGACACCCAUCAGUGAGGCUACAGAUCACAUGUCCAUCAUUCCAUGACCAUCAGGCACAAAGUAUGGAGAAAAAGAAUCAGAAGAUCCAUACCAUUCAACCAAGUUCCAUCCUGAUGCCACACGAGAUAUGACAAUUCCACCAGCCUCCCUAGUCUCCUGUCCAACAGCUCUGAUCAAAGGAAUGCUACUGUCUUUGGACUCAAGACCUGCACCUGUUUCCUUCCCUAGGGUGAGAAGUGGCUAUAAACAUCUGUCUUGACCCUGCAUCUCCCAACACACAGUCAUGAAAAUAAAGAAAUACAGUAUUGGCCUUUGCUCUCAGUGUGUCCUCAUCCUAAGGUGUCUGCUGAGUUUCUCAUUCACAGGAACCUUCUCCCCACAUCCUCCAAGGGGCAGUGUCGGGAUAUCAGAGAAAGGAGUCUGAAGGCUGAAUAUCUCACUCAUUCUGAACAGCCAUUUCUGUUUCUAGGGCUGAGGAACA